RNAcentral lists this ribosomal RNA (254 nucleotides) under uncultured bacterium. RNAcentral describes it as "partial 16S ribosomal RNA". It matches the Rfam family "Bacterial small subunit ribosomal RNA", at positions 524 to 776 of the family's 1533-position model. The record is from RNAcentral.
UACGUAGGGUGCGAGCGUUUGUCCGGAAUUAUUGGGCGUAAAGGGCUCGUAGGCGGUUUGUCGCGUCGGGAGUGAAAACACCGGGCUUAACUCGGUGCUUGCUUCCGAUACGGGCAGACUAGAGGCAUGCAGGGGAGAACGGAAUUCCUGGUGUAGCGGUGAAAUGCGCAGAUAUCAGGAGGAACACCGGUGGCGAAGGCGGUUCUCUGGGCAUGUCCUGACGCUGAGGAGCGAAAGUGUGGGGAGCGAACAGG